This 988-nucleotide long non-coding RNA is filed under the name Struthio camelus australis. RNAcentral's name for it is "lncRNA (ENSSCUG00000001363.1)". Lineage: Eukaryota; Metazoa; Chordata; Aves; Struthioniformes; Struthionidae. The record is from RNAcentral.
CCCCCGCGGCGCCUGAGCGGCUGCUGCGCCGGCGCUCAAGAGGCAUGCUCGGACCGGGGAGGGUAGAUGAGGUUUUCUCUAUCGCCAGCGUUACAGGAGUUGAACUCUUUCCGCGGUUUCUUUUAAUUGUGAGCGGAGUAAUCUGGCGCUGGGGAGCCCAAAGGAACCUCAAGGGGGGAAGGAAGAGGGCGGGAGGAUGCUGAAGUCGGGCCGUUCCCGCAACUUCCAGCCCGAACGCUCCCCUGACUCAUCGCCGGAGAAGGCUGCUUCGCAGACGCUGGUGGUGAAUUGCAGGUGAUUAACGGACGCAUGGGGCGAGAAGCGAAAGGCAGCACAAGAAAAACGUCUCGGAAGGAGCUGCUCAGGUCUGCAGCGAGGAAAAAGCGAGGCAAAGAUCUCGACGCUUUUGAGGAAACGCUUCCAGGGCGCUUCGGCUCUUGUCCUGCGGCUGCCGGGGCCCCCCGCCACCGGGGGCACCUCGACCGGACCAGGAGCAAACGAAGAGCCACGCGGCCCCCGGGGGGAGAUGUUUACCCUCCUGGAAAGCUAAAAUGUUUUCUGCGCUUGCAACAUAAAAACCCAGGAGGGAUUAUUGUCACUGGAGAUAAUGUUACAGCCGGAGCCGGGUGACGCUUAAGAACUUGGUCAGCCCCUGCGCCUUGCCAAAAUAGCGCCCGGCGUUGUUUCGAGGCAGGUUGCAGAGCCCGGAUACAACGAACGUGACUCUUUCGCAGUGCUUUAAAGCGCAACGGCCGUUACCUGCGGUGCGUGGUGAGGCCUCGGGACGGGCUGCAAGCUGGUUUACCAGCUGCAGCUUGCGUCUCGGUUACUAAAGCAGCUGUUGCUUAUAGAAAAUCCCUCCUAAAGCAACUCCGGGCACCUCGGCCUCUACCUACCAAUUUCAAAAUGCGUAAGUAAGAAAAAAAGCUGUUUGUAUGAAUAACCCUGAGUAAAUAAAUUGUCGCUUUAACUACGUUGUAUCGUAAUG